AAACGCUUGAAGUCAGUCGCAUCGACCGAGACUCAGCCUUGCCUCGGCUUGGUGUACUUCUCGGCUGAUGGGUCAGCAUCGAUUUCGACCCUUGGAUAAUGGUGGGGGAAAGGUGGCACCUUUACCGGUGUGUUAUAGCCCUCUGUCGUAUGCAACGGUUGGGAUUGAGGACUGCAGCACGCCUUUAUGGCCGGGGUUCGCCCACGUACGUGCUUAGGAUGUUGGCAUAAUGGCUUUAAGCGA
Molecule: ribosomal RNA, 243 nt
Filed under: Russulales sp.
Lineage: Eukaryota; Fungi; Basidiomycota; Agaricomycetes; Russulales
Description: partial large subunit ribosomal RNA
Source: RNAcentral